This 253-nucleotide ribosomal RNA is filed under the name uncultured bacterium. Its description in RNAcentral is "partial 16S ribosomal RNA". It matches the Rfam family "Bacterial small subunit ribosomal RNA", at positions 524 to 776 of the family's 1533-position model. The record is from RNAcentral.
UACAGAGGGGGCAAGCGUUGUUCGGAAUUACUGGGCGUAAAGGGCGCGUAGGCGGCCUGUUAAGUCGGACGUGAAAUCCCUCGGCUCAACCGGGGAACUGCGUCUGAUACUGGCGGGCUUGAGUUCGGGAGAGGGAUGUGGAAUUCCAGGUGUAGCGGUGAAAUGCGUAGAUAUCUGGAGGAAUACCGGUGGCGAAGGCGGCAUCCUGGACCAUUACUGACGCUGAGGCGCGAAAGCGUGGGGAGCAAACAGG